Molecule: long non-coding RNA, 153 nt
Organism: Carassius auratus (goldfish)
Lineage: Eukaryota; Metazoa; Chordata; Actinopteri; Cypriniformes; Cyprinidae
Exons: 2
Source: RefSeq, a predicted model, not a curated record
CACAAUCUUCAUCAUCACACGAGACACAACAACAACAAUGAACAACUUCAUCAUCCUCAUCUGGACUCUGACGCUCUGCAUUCAGGAGAUCUGGGGACAAGUGACAGUGACUCAGAAUCCAGAAAUAAUAUCCAUCAAUCAAGGAGAAACUGU